RNAcentral lists this ribosomal RNA (512 nucleotides) under uncultured bacterium. RNAcentral's name for it is "bacterial SSU rRNA". It matches the Rfam family "Bacterial small subunit ribosomal RNA", at positions 28 to 531 of the family's 1533-position model. The record is from RNAcentral.
GAUGAACGCUGGCGGCGUGCCUAACACAUGCAAGUCGAACGGGUGUGGUAUCAGGGAAAAGGGGUUUACUUCUUUGACCAGAUAACACACUAGUGGCGGACGGGUGAGUAACGCGUGGAUAACCUGCCUUAUACAGGGGGAUAACAGGGAGAAAUUCUUGCUAAUACCCCAUAGGUAUGUCUGACGCAUGUUGGACAUAUUAAAGCUUUGGCGGUAUAAGAUGGGUCCGCGUCUGAUUAGCUAGUUGGUGGGGUAAAGGCCCACCAAGGCGACGAUCAGUAGCCGGCUUGAGAGAGUGGACGGCCACAUUGGGACUGAGACACGGCCCAAACUCCUACGGGAGGCAGCAGUGGGGAAUAUUGCACAAUGGGGGAAACCCUGAUGCAGCGACGCCGCGUGAAGGAAGAAGGUCUUCGGAUCGUAAACUUCUAUCAGCAGGGAAGAAGGAAGUGACAGUACCUGAGUAAGAAGCCCCGGCUAACUACGUGCCAGCAGCCGCGGUAAUAGUCACG